Molecule: long non-coding RNA, 2299 nt
Organism: Brassica rapa (field mustard)
Lineage: Eukaryota; Viridiplantae; Streptophyta; Magnoliopsida; Brassicales; Brassicaceae
Source: RefSeq, a predicted model, not a curated record
UUUUGGCUGCCAUGAUAAUAUCGAGAUUCAUUAUUAGUAUGUCUUUACAUAUAGGGAUACUUAUAUAUUGUGUGAUAUCCGAACGAAUAAAUCAAAAUUAAUAUUAGUCGCUUCAAUCAAUUAUGCCGCCCUUUAUUAGGCGUGUGAAAAUAACUCAAGGUUCAAAUCGAGACCUUUAUACUAUCGAGACAAUAAAAUUUUCGUUAAUGGAGUUUCUUGUUAGGUUGGUUUAAUUCAGUCCUAUGUAAACGAUAACCUGACCGAAACCGUAAAUCAGUCUUUUGAUAAAUCAGUAUGUUUUAAUAAAAUCAUUUAAUAACCGAAAAAUUAAGUUAACUCAGCCGUGAAAACAAAUAAUUCAGUAUUCAAAUAGCAUUUACCUAGCCUAAGAAACAAUUAACUCAGCCUGAGAAACAAUUAACUCAGCCUCUAAAUAGAUUUUACGUUGCCUUAGGAACCAUUAACUCAGUCUUCAAAUAUAUUUAACUUAGCCAACGAAACAAUUAACUCAGCCCUUGGAAACAAUUAACUCGUAGUCGAAGAGAUGCUUUCCAAAGGACAUGAAUUAUCUCGUAGUCGAAGAGAUGCUUUCCAAACAACUCCAACAGAUCAUUUUUUAUCUAUAAAUACAAAGCGCACAAUGCCACAAAUACAAACCCUCAUUAAGUGAUCAAGUGGCAAUGGAAGGAUCGAAAAGAUCGAUGAAACGUCCUAUGGAGGAUGUCUAUGGCGCGGAUGUUGUCGAAGGUUAUAACAAAGGGAAAAUGGAAACGACGGAGCAUUACAGGGCGCUUCUCCGCUUGGCCAAGGAACAAAGGCAAUCUGAAUCUGAAUGGAACGACGCCUCCAGCAAAGUAAAUUCUAUUGCUGCGCGCAUGGAAUUGCUUGAUGCCGUUAUCAAGGCCGACGGCAAAUUUGACCUCGUGGCUGAGUUGGAGACACUUACCGCUCAGCAUUGUGAAGCCGAAGCAGAGUUGAGAGAUGUGAAGGUCAUCGACCCUGACUGGUGUAAGCUUCAUGAAAAAUGGAUGCUGGAUGAUUAAUCUCAUGUCAUCAACUUCUCUUUUAUUUUUAUGUUUUUAAGACCGGAUUUUAUGUACUAUGUAACACACAUCAUGUUUUAUUUUCUACCUAUUCAUAUAACUCAGUCGUGACAUAAAUUAACACAAAUCAGUUUUUAUGCAUCAAUAACUCAGCAAGACGGUUCAUUUAUCCAGACCAGUGUAAAUCGAGACCAUUAUUAUGCGCGUGAUCAAAUUCAGUUGCCAUGAGUUUUUCGAUGUUUUCCUCGACUCUAAUUGGCCAGUAAGAUAUAAUUCAGCCAACUCAGUCGAAACAUGAUUCGCGACGGUUGGGAUUUCACGUGAAUUUUAAUAAAUCAAAUUUAAUAUUAGGCGUGAAAUAACAUUAACUCAGCUGUAAAAAGAAUUAAUUCAGCCUUCAAAUAGCAUGUACCUAGCCUAAGAAACAAUUAACUCAGCCUUGGAAACAAUUAACUCAGCCUUUAAAUAGCAUUUAAUCAAAUAUCAGAAAAUAACAUUAUUAUGCGUGUGAGAAUUUUUGGCUGCCAUGAUAAUAUCGAGACUCAUUAUUAGUAUGUCUUUACAUAUAGGGAUACGGCAAGCAUUCAUGUAUUAUAACUAACAAUAACUCAGCAAGACGGUUCAUUUAUCCAGACCAGUGUAAAUCGAGACCAUUAUUAUGCGCGUGAUCAAAUUCAGUUGCCAUGAGUUUUUCGAUGUUUUCCCCGACUCUAAUUGGCCAGUAAGAUAUAAUUCAGCCAACUCAGUCGAAACAUGAUUCGCGACGGUUGAGAUUUCACGUGAAUUUUAAUAAAUCAAAAUUAAUUUUAGGCGUGUGAAAAUAAGUCAAGGUUCUAACAAAUAUCGAGACCUUUAUACUAUCGAGACAAUAAAAUUUUCUUUAAUGGAGUUUCUUGUUAGGUUGGUUUAAUUCAGUCCUAUGUUUUAAUCAAAUCAUUUAAUAACCGUGAAAUUAAAUUAACUAAGCUGUAAAAACAAAUAAUUCAGUCUUCAAAUAGCAUUUACCUAGCCUAAGAAACAAUUAACUCAGCCUUGGAAACAAUUAACUCAGCCCUUAAAUAGAUUUUACUUAGCCUUACAAAAAUUAACUCAGCCUCCAAAUAGAUUUUACGUUGCCUUAGGAACCAUUAACUCAGUCUUCAAAUAUAUUUAACUUAGCCAACGAAACAAUUAACUCAGCCUAUAAAUAGCAUUUAAUCAAAUAUUAGAAAACAACAACUUAGCCAUAGAAUAUUAGUUUCGACAUACAACAUACU